Molecule: ribosomal RNA, 253 nt
Filed under: uncultured bacterium
Lineage: Bacteria
Description: partial 16S ribosomal RNA
Rfam family: Bacterial small subunit ribosomal RNA
Source: RNAcentral
GACGGAGGGAGCUAGCGUUGUUCGGAUUUACUGGGCGUAAAGGGCGCGUAGGCGGAUUAAUAAGUUGGGAGUGAAAGCCCGGGGCUUAACCUCGGAACUGCUCUCAAAACUGUUAGUCUUGAGUGAAGUAGGGGGUGAUGGAAUUCCUAGUGUAGAGGUGAAAUUCUUAGAUAUUAGGAGGAACACCGGUGGCGAAGGCGGUCACCUGGACUUCAACUGACGCUGAGGCGCGAAAGCGUGGGGAGCAAACAGG